GGAUGCAAAAGUCGUAACACGGUUUCCGUAGGUGAACCUGCGGAAGGAUCAUUCACACAUUGCGUCUCAAAGCUGCUUCAUCAGACGGUGACUCAAUUUUUGGGGCUUGGAUGAUGUUUGCUGCUGCGAGGGAACGCUGAAUUGAACCUUAUCAUCUACCGAUCUUUGAAUCUGUUUUGUUUUCCCACCACGACGCAUUUUUGUGAAGAAAAGAAGAGGAAAAAACCUGACUUUGCAAGCAUCAUUGCCACCUUUUGAAGGGAUGGGAUGAUGAUGCAUGCAUGGGAGGGGGAGGGGCGGCGCAUGCACCGCUUGGGGCUUUUUGGGGCUUUGGGGCUGUGGUGGUGGGGCUUGCAUGCUACAUGUGACCCUGGCACUGCUGUCUAUGAUGAGCGUCCAUAGCGCCAGCGUGUGUUAUUGCGUUCGUUGCCUUGUAUUUUAUAUUUAAAAAAAACAAAACUUUCAGCAAUGGAUGUCUUGGCUCACGCAUCGAUGAAGGACGCAGCGAAAUGCGAUACGCAUUGUGAAUUGCAGAUUUCAGUGAACCAUCAGAUUUCUGAACGCACAUGGCGCUGCUGGUAUUUUGCCCGCAGCACGUCUGUUUCAGUGUCUCUUAACAACUCCUACUAGUAGGCCAUGCUGCUGUCUGUCUCUGUUCCUUGUGGUCCUGUGAGGGUUCGGCGAUGCUGCCGACAGAAGUGAGUGCUUUGCUCGCUUCUGUUUUGUGUCGCGGAAUUUUUUCGGGUCACCAAAGGGGAGGUAGGAGCAUGUUUGGUUUCAUUUGAGUGUCGUUGCAUUGGUUUUGAAGGAGAUGCGGCGUCUCUCGAAAUUGUUGUCGGCAGCGGUGCUGUGUGUCUGCACAGUGUGCCGUUUUACAUGCCUGUGCUUUCUAUAGUGUCGUCGUAUGCUCCUUUCAUUCGGAAAGAGAGAGAUACGGUGGUUGUAUUUUAUGCAACGUUGUUUGUCUCGUUCUGGACGAAUGUUUUGAGCAGGGCUAGGGCGAGGUAUAUAAUAGUGCAUGGGUAUGCGACAACGUGAAACGACAUAUAGUACACGGCACCAUGCACGUGUUGCAUGCGUCGUUUUUUCUCGGUAUUACACAUGUAUGUAUAGACCUGAAAUCAGUCGAGGUUACCCGCUGAAUUUAAGCAUAUUAUUAAGCGGAGGA
RNAcentral lists this small RNA (1168 nucleotides) under uncultured Eimeria. RNAcentral describes it as "eukaryotic LSU rRNA". The stretch from base 458 to 612 matches the Rfam family "5.8S ribosomal RNA". Lineage: Eukaryota; Apicomplexa; Conoidasida; Eucoccidiorida; Eimeriidae. The record is from RNAcentral.